ACCAUGAUGGACACUCUGCACUCUGGAAGAGUCCCAAGCCCACCACUCACAACCUGGCCACAAUUAAGUGACUGGCCACCACUAACUGACCAUAAGGAUAGCCCACCCUGCCAGUUUCAGGGUACCCACGCCAUCCCUCACUCCCAAGACUAAUCACCAUCAGGUUCUCUCCUACCUUGUCUUCUCCUCAAAUUUCCCAAAUCUUCUCCCCAUCCUUCUUCUCUGCAGUGACCUCACUUCUGAUUUCACUGUUAAAGCAAUAUGAAGAGAAUUCCAUGGGCUCCCAUCACAUCCAAUCCCCAUCCUGCACUUGGGCUCAGCCCCUCCUCUCCAUCCUGUGUCUGUGCUCUUUCCAUACCCCUCGGGCCGGCCAACCCCUCAACGAUGCGUGUGCUCCAUCCCAUUCUCAUUUAUCCAAGAGUACCACUAGCUUUUCUCCCCUUUCCCUGGCAUCAUCAAUGAAUCAUUCUGAGUUUUCCCAUUAACAUGCAAAAUACUAUUAUUUCUCCCACUGCAAAAUAAAACAAACCUCAUGAUCCCUUUUGACCCUUCAGCUCAUGCCCAUUUCUCUCCUCCCCAAUUAGUCAUCAAACGCAUUGCCUUCAAUGCUCCUGCUUGCUCUUAGGCCUACUGUAAUCCCGCUUCUGCUCCUAUAACCUCACACACACAAAAAAACUGUACUUACUACUGUCACCUAUAUGUCCUAUCACAUUGCCCAAAUCUUUGGGGAUCAACCUUACCAAUAAAUAAGCCAUUUGUGUGACUGGAGAAUCAUGGGAAGAAUCCAUCACCCACCUUGAUAAACUGAAAAUCACAUCUUUGGACCCUCCUCUGCACCUAUGAUGCAAGAGUCUUCUUCUACUGCAAUUUCCUGAACAAACAUAUUACACAGAUUAGCAGGUAUAUAGGUCAAUGAAUAACAGAAAAUUGAAUUUACUCCACUCCAUGUCUCUUCGUGCAAAUAUACAAUGAAGGGAUUGGUGGGGCAUGUCAGUCAGCCUACAUACUGGCAAGUAAACGUCUUCCUGCCAUAUGGGGCUGUUAUCAGAAAAGCAACAUUAAUUUAUUUGAACAGAUUUGUGUCACUGUCCCUCUUGGGGUAAAGGACCAGAAAAAAAAACACUGCUUUUGUUCAAAAAUAUUCCCCUCCUCUGGCCAGGCCUAUAGCAGACCUCAGGGCUAAGUAUUCAUCUUGAAGGGUUAAAGCUCUGCUAUCGAUAAGAUGAUCAGUUACCCAGCCAACACAUUAACAGAGAUUCCUUAAGGUAAUUAAUAAGCAGUAGACAUCCAUUAAUUCUUAUCAGAGAGUGGGGCCCAGAGGAGGGAAAAGGAGUCCAGGAUCGAGGAAUAACUCUAGUGGGAUGAGGCCACGGUGAGAAUGGAGGGGGAGUGGUCCCUCGGAAAUGUGAAGGAAAAACACAGAAAGCAGCAGUAGGAUCUGAUGCUCUCAGCUUUCUUCACACUUUGGACCAAGAAUCAUCCUGCCUUUAAUACGUUUGAUCUUUCAUUUUUGCCUCUCAAGGCUAUCAUCAUAUUUUUAAGCUCCAAUAAGACUAAGUUCUAAUAGAAAUUAUAGCCCCCAGAACCCGUGGAGUACUUUUAAAAAAUAAUAAUAAAGUAACAAAAAGGAGGUUCUAUUUGUUCACUCAGAUUGGCUUCCGAUCUUUCUUUCCCCUUUUAAAUAUGCAUUGCUUAAAUUUUAAGUGUGUCCAUCCUCCUCUCUUUCGGUCUUUGAAUCUAGCAUCCUUUUCUUUUUCUUUUUUUGCUUUUUAGGGCCAUGCCUACAGAAUAUGGAAGUUCCCAGGCUAGGGGUAAACUAGAGAUGAAGCUGCUGGCAUACGGCACAGCAGGCCAAAUCCCUGCCAUGUCUGCCACCUACACCAUAGCUCAUGGCAAUGCCGGAUCCUUAACCCACUGAGCAGGGCCGGGGAUGGAACCUGAAACCUCAUGGAUACUAGUCGGGUUCAUUACUUCUGAGCCACAACAGGAACUCUCAGCAUCCAUUUAUUUUGCUCAAACGUUUCCUUUCUUUACAUGGUGAUGAAAAUUCUCCACCUUCAACUUUUUCUUCUUCUCUAGUUUAACAUUUCCCAUUCAUAUGUACGUUUUUUUUGUUUGUUUGUUUGUUUUUUCUUUUCCCCAAAUUAUCAUUGCUGGGUAAGAAAUUCUUUUGGUGUUUUUUUGUUUGUUUUGUUGUUGUUUUGUUUUAGGGGGGUUUUUUUGGCCACACCCAUGGGACGUGGAAGUUCCAGGGCCAGGGAUCAAACCCGAACCACAGCAGUGACCAACGAUGCCCACUGCAACGACAACACCAGAUCCUUAACCCACUGAGCCACAAGAGAACUCCAGACAAAUGGUUUUAACAGUCAAUGUAUUUUUUUUUUUUUUUUUUUUUUUUUUUUUGUCUUUUUGCCUUUUCUAGGGCUGCAUCCGCGGCAUAUGGAGGUUCCCAGGCUAGGGCGCGAAUCAGAGCUGCAGCCACCAGCCUACACCAGAGCCACAGCAACUCCAGAUCCGAGCCUCGUCUGCGACCUACACCACAGCUCACAGCAAUGCCGGAUCCUUAACCCACUGAGCAAGGCCAGGGAUCAAACCCGCAACCUCAUGGUUCCCAGUUGGAUUCGUUAACCACUGCGCCGCGACAGGAACUCCUAGUCAACAUGAUUCCUAAAAAAAUUAGGUGGAGAAACUAGAGCCAACCCUGGAACAGGACAGAGACUUAUCUUCUCAGGGAUUGCACUUCCCGGGGAAGUGGAAGGGAGAGGAAGGGAAGGGAAGAGAGGGGAAGGGAAGUGCCCACGGUAUUACAGGCCACUUCCUCCUCAUAGGCCUCUCUACUAGUGGGGUCUACAGCGCCCUCUGCUGUUCAGGAUCUCCCCUGCACCACACCAAGGAGUAACCCACACCUACUCCCCGACUCCUGUCUCUUUACAACUCAUCAAACAAACACGGUCCAGCUGGCUUUCUUCUACCUUCCAAGUUUCCACUAUGGGGAGGGCUCCCCACCCAGGAAAUAGCAAGAAAACUGUGCUCAGGCAUGUCUUCCUCUAAGCCCAAAGUCUUGAUUGAUUGAGUCUUUUCCAGACCAUUUCUAGGUUCCUGGCCUCUUUUUGUUACUUACAUGGCAGUUAAUUCACAUAACCAAAAGCAAGACAAGAACCACAUCCUAUUAGUUUCAUUUUAGUUCACUCUGUUAAGCUUAUUUUAAGAAUGGCCUGUUAUACAUUCCAAACAAUCUUGGCUUUGGCCAAGGCCAAGUUCCAAUAAACACACGGCCUGGACUCCGUUACCAGCCUGGGGAUGAGAUGGAUGCAUGUGCUCGAACAUGAGCCCUGGCAUGGGUUCUGCUCAGGGGAGUCUGAGGAGUUCGUGGAGUUUGGCGAACAGUUUCGCCUUUCAUAAAAAGCUGAGAUGGUUGUUUCCAUGUAUAAAACUACAACUGUAGAAACAAAAUGCGGUUUUCCGAAACGCCAUUUCUCUCAUUUUCCAACAUGCUCUUAAAUUAAACCAUCAUGGCUCAUCGAUCAGAACUGCUCUGCCUGCUUAUUCCUACAAUGGUAACUAUAUAUUGCUACACUAAUAGAACCUAAAACCAUGGUGUAUUCUCAUUGGUACAAAAGCAGCUUUCCUCGUUGUGUGAAUUUUACCUCCAUAAUACGUCUCUGUGCACCAAAUUGAUUAGAUUUCUUGUAAAAGACUAGCUGCCGUUGCAAAUCCAAAAUAAUAGAUGGUUGACAUGUGACACUAAUAGUAGCCAAUAAAAGAGCUACAGGAAAAUUUUCCCCAAUGCUUUGUAAAUUGAUUAUCUAUAAUACCCUAUGAUAAAUUGACCCAGAAUGUCAUCUGAUGGCUAUUUACUUAGGCAGAAAUUCAGUCUGGGGAAUUUGAGAAACAGAAACUCCAGCACUGCAAUGACGACGGUAAUACAUUUUACAGCCUUCUAGAACAGCUGAUAUCAAGUGUGGUUUACUAAGCUUUGUCUUUGGCCAUCUGUCCUAAAACAAGACUUCUACUAAUAUCAGUUUGGUCAAGAGACAAAGCUCUUUUGAGUAAGCAAUUUGAUAGGUUCUCUAGCAGCACCUCAAAAAAAAAAAAAAAAAAAUCAACUUACCAAUUGCCCUAUUGCAGUAAAGGACUUGCAUUAGCCCAGGCUUCCAAGGUCAAAAUGAGUUAUCUUCAAGUUGUCCUUCUCAGGUAACUCACUGUUUAGUUAUCUAAGACCAGUUCUUUCCUCUCAUUGUCUCUCUCACACAGCACUUUCUUUGAAGUCUCAAAGAAAGUGCAAAUCCAAAAUAAUAGAUGGAAAAUUCUAGUCAUUAUUCCUCAUUCUCAGUACUGCAGCCCGCCUUCCCUUGGCCUGUCCACUCCUAGGCUUCCCCUCCGUUCUGCCCUAUGAACCCCACGUGAAGCCUCUGUGACAGUCACUCCCCUAUUCCUAACUCUUCGGUGAGUCCCUCUUGCCAAGAAUAGACAUUUGCCUAUUGGUUUUCCACUACGCCAUCCAUAUACAUGUGCCAUCUAAGCUGGAGCAUAGACAGGUAGUCUGACUUGAGCAUCCAGUUCUUUGCACACCAUCUUCUCUCUGUGGCCCCAGCCAGGACUGGGUCCUCGCCCUGUGCAUUCCUAUUUUGUUUUAAUCACUUGAAACACAUCACUCUCUAUAUAUCAAAAAUAUUUAGGCGUUCCCACUGUGGCACAGCAGGUUAAGGAUCCGGCAUGGUCCUUGCAGUGGUGCAGGUUUCAUCCCUGGCCCAGGAACUUCCAUAUGCCA
This 4771-nucleotide long non-coding RNA is filed under the name Sus scrofa (pig). Its description in RNAcentral is "lncRNA (ENSSSCG00000046758.1)". Lineage: Eukaryota; Metazoa; Chordata; Mammalia; Artiodactyla; Suidae. The record is from RNAcentral.